RNAcentral lists this ribosomal RNA (495 nucleotides) under uncultured bacterium. RNAcentral describes it as "partial 16S ribosomal RNA". It matches the Rfam family "Bacterial small subunit ribosomal RNA", at positions 28 to 507 of the family's 1533-position model. The record is from RNAcentral.
GACGAACGCUGGCGGCGUGCCUAAUACAUGCAAGUAGAACGCUGAAGGAGGAGCUUGCUCUUCUGGAUGAGUUGCGAACGGGUGAGUAACGCGUAGGUAACCUGCCUGGUAGCGGGGGAUAACUAUUGGAAACGAUAGCUAAUACCGCAUAAGAGUAGAUGUUGCACGACAUUUGCUUAAAAGGUGCAAUUGCAUCACUACCAGAUGGACCUGCGUUGUAUUAGCUAGUUGGUGGGGUAACGGCUCACCAAGGCGACGAUACAUAGCCGACCUGAGAGGGUGAUCGGCCACACUGGGACUGAGACACGGCCCAGACUCCUACGGGAGGCAGCAGUAGGGAAUCUUCGGCAAUGGACGGAAGUCUGACCGAGCAACGCCGCGUGAGUGAAGAAGGUUUUCGGAUCGUAAAGCUCUGUUGUAAGAGAAGAACGAGUGUGAGAGUGGAAAGUUCACACUGUGACGGUAUCUUACCAGAAAGGGACGGCUAACUACGUG